AUCUAAGGCCAUACCACCCUUAACGCACAUGAUCAUGUCUGACAAGGUCUGGCCUGGUUAGUGCUUGGAUGGGAGGCUGCCUGGGAAUAUCAUGUGGUAUAAUCU
This 105-nucleotide ribosomal RNA is filed under the name Nannospalax galili (Upper Galilee mountains blind mole rat). Lineage: Eukaryota; Metazoa; Chordata; Mammalia; Rodentia; Spalacidae. The record is from RNAcentral.